Non-coding RNA from Lindgomyces ingoldianus, 90 nucleotides. NCBI's taxonomy places the organism in Eukaryota, Fungi, Ascomycota, Dothideomycetes, Pleosporales, Lindgomycetaceae. The record is from the annotation of a RefSeq genome assembly.
GGGUUCGUGGUCUAGUGGUACGAUUCCUGCUUAGGGGUUUUGAGAACUUUUAGAUGCAGGAGGUCCCGAGUUCGAUCCUCGGCGAACCCC